AUUGAACGCUGGCGGCAUGCCUUACACAUGCAAGUCGAACAGUAACAGGUCUUCGGAUGCUGACGAGUGGCGAACGGGUGAGUAAUACAUCGGAACGUGCCUAGUAGUGGGGGAUAACUACUCGAAAGAGUGGCUAAUACCGCAUGAGAUCUACGGAUGAAAGCAGGGGAUCGCAAGACCUUGUGCUACUAGAGCGGCCGAUGGCAGAUUAGGUAGUUGGUGGGAUAAAAGCUUACCAAGCCGACGAUCUGUAGCUGGUCUGAGAGGACGAUCAGCCACACUGGGACUGAGACACGGCCCAGACUCCUACGGGAGGAAGCAGUGGGGAAUUUUGGACAAUGGGCGAAAGCCUGAUCCAGCAAUGCCGCGUGCAGGAUGAAGGCCUUCGGGUUGUAAACUGCUUUUGUACGGAACGAAAAGCCCCGGGUUAAUACCCUGGGGUCAUGACGGUACCGUAAGAAUAAGCACCGGCUAACUACGUGCCAGCAGCCGCGGUAA
This 498-nucleotide ribosomal RNA is filed under the name uncultured bacterium. Its description in RNAcentral is "partial 16S ribosomal RNA". It matches the Rfam family "Bacterial small subunit ribosomal RNA", at positions 30 to 523 of the family's 1533-position model. The record is from RNAcentral.